RNAcentral lists this ribosomal RNA (416 nucleotides) under uncultured stramenopile. RNAcentral describes it as "SSU rRNA". It matches the Rfam family "Eukaryotic small subunit ribosomal RNA", at positions 9 to 420 of the family's 1831-position model. The record is from RNAcentral.
UGAUCCUGCCAGUAGUCAUACGCUUGUCUCAAAGAUUAAGCCAUGCACCUCUUAGUAUAAACAAUUUAUACUGUGAAACUGCGAAUGGCUCAUUAUAUCAGUUAUAGUUUAUUUGAUAGUAUUUUACUACUUGGAUAACCGUAGUAAUUCUAGAGCUAAUACAUGCGUUAAUUCCCAACUGCUUGCGCGGACGGGAUGUAUUUAUUAGAUAGAAACCAAACCCCUUUCGGGCGGUAUUGUGGUGAAUCAUAAUAAAUUUGCGAAUCGUAUGCCCUUGUGGGGCCGAUGAAUCAUUCAAGUUUCUGCCCUAUCAGCUGUCGAGGGUAGGGUAUUGGCCUACCCUGGCAUUAACGGGUGACGGAGAAUUAGGGUUCGAUUCCGGGGAGGGAGCCCGAGAGAGGGCUACCACAUCCAAG